Nycticebus coucang (slow loris) is the source of this 6158-nucleotide long non-coding RNA. RefSeq lists it as uncharacterized. The record is from RefSeq and is a predicted model, not a curated record. The transcript has 8 exons. Lineage: Eukaryota; Metazoa; Chordata; Mammalia; Primates; Lorisidae.
UUAAAAGCUGUGCUUACUCCUCCCUUCCCCGAGACAUUUUUCAAUUUGGCUUUGAGCAUCUUGCUGUUCUAACACUUCCCUCCUCCUAUUGCAAUAUGCCUUUUUAAAAGUUUGUCCGUAUUCAUGUCCAGAGUGCAUUUUUUUUCUUUAGCAGUAAUGAUGUCAUGACCCGGAUAAAAUGCCCACUGCCCCAGGGCUCUGCUUUCUUCACCCGACACCAUCUCCAGGAGUUUCUGUGCCUUUUUCUGGCUGGGGAACCUGGGAUCCGCAGUGGCAUCCCACUUUUCAAGUGCCUGGUCUGAAGGACACUAAAACAACUAAUCUUUCCUAACAGGCCUAACAAGUAGCUCAACUGGUCCUCCAGGGAGAGCAGAAUUGAGCGAAAUCUGACACCAAGAUACAAAAAUUAAGACUAAGAGAAGCUGAACCACCUUCCAAAGGUUAUGUGGAGAAGCUGAUGUAACAGUGCUCAGAAGGAAGAGCCCUGAUUCUCUCCUCAGAGACGGCCAACUAACCCGUAUUCUCAGCCUGGGUCUUAUCAGCAAGCAAGCAGAGGUUCACCGUAUUUGAGGAUUCGGAGGUGCACUUAGCAGAGUGUUUCUACUCAAAGCAUCUGAGACUUCAUCUGUCCUGCAGUGCCUCAGAUACAGUAGGACCUCAACAAAGAUGAGGAGAACUAAAGAAAAGAGAGGACAUCUGUCAAGGUCUCCAAAGCUUGAAGUGGUAGAACCUGGGUUGAACUCAGACCUCAGAUUCUGGGAUUUGUCCUUUACACCAGAAAAUAUCCUCUGCCUUGGCCAGCUCAGACCUCACAGGUAGACAUCCCUGGAAUUCUCCUCCAAGUCAAAAAACCUACAUUCUGAAGCUCAAACCUUGCAGAGAGUUAAGCAGAUAAGUAACCCUCACAUGUCCUCUUUCCUUUCUCCAUGCAUUCUAUAUUAGUCAUUUGACUCAUUAAGGAGAGUGUAGCUAUGAGUUGAGUUAGUACUCUGAAGGAAGGGCAGACAGUUGUUGAAAGUGAAUCACAAAUUUUGAUUUAAUACCUACCAUAGACUAAAGUCACCCAGACUGGAAGACUGUCUGUGAUUCAGAGCAUACAGGAGAAUGUUUCCAUAGUAGGUGUCUGUGAGUAGAAGAUGUCUAAAGUUUAUACAGCCAUGCUUUGCUGUCCCUGCCUCUUAGGAAGCUUCCAGCCUAAAAGGAAGGAACAGGAUCAAUCAGCUAAUUCACUGGUGAAUGUCCAGCUGCAGAGUGAGCAUAGUCCUCUGAAGGAAAGGAGGACAGGUCUGUCUGUAGCAGGGACUCAGAGGAAGCUGAGCUGGCCCUGGGGCAGCAGAAUAGCCUUCCUAAAGAUGCUUGGGCUGAGAGCUGAAGGAUGAAAAGGCUCUUAUUAUGUGGCAGACAAGAGAUGGGAAGAGGAUUCUAGGCAGAAGAAACAGCAUUUGCAAAGGCAAGAGAGAGCAGGUUGGUGUGGCAGCCCCAGGCAGGGAGCAUGGUGCUGGAUGCAUUGAGGCUGAAGCAGGAGGCAGACGCAGGUCACACAGCAUCUGACAGAGCCACCAUCUCUGUGCAAAGAGCACAAGGGAGCCAUAGAAGGACACAGGCAGAGCAGGGGUAUGAAGCAAUACUCAAUGAGUCAGUAGACAAAUAAGGAAACCCAGAUCCUUGGUCCUCCCUCCUCCCAAGCCCCAACCUCAUGGCAUUCUCAAUCUACACACAAAGUCUACCCAGUAGAGGUCCUCACCAAGCCACCCAGACCAUGGAACCUCAGGGUUGGUAGGGACCUGGCCCUGCAUCAUCUAGACACACUCCCAUUAGCUAAGCACUUUCUUGCCCUCUCUGAAUCAUAGUUCAUCUCCAAUCUGUGUGAAACUCGAUAUCUGGACUCAGCAUGGGCUUCAUAGCUGGGUGACUGCCAACAAAUUAUAUCCCCUCUGUGAUCAUCCUUUUCUGUGACUGCACUAAGGAGACAGGAGUGCUGAUUGAUUAUUAAGAUAAUGCAGAGAAGGUCUCUAGCACCAUAUCCAGUCUUUAGUAGAUGCCCAGUACGUGACGAUUUCAUCUCAAAGUCUGAAUUCAGCCAUUCAUCCUGAGCUCUAUCUUUCUCCCAACUGGGCAGAGUGGCAGCUCUAAGAUACCCACCUGUGUACACAUGAUCAGAGCUCAGAGUUAAAUCAGCCCUGUGUACACAUGUAUCAGAGCUCAGAGUUAAAUCAGCCCAGUCAUCCACUAAAUAAUUGUGCUUAUUAGACAAACCCAUAGAAAAAAUUAAUUAAAAAAAUCAUGAAUUUGUCCGUGGUAGAGAAAGGAGAAAUUGAAGAAAAAAAAAAUGUUUUCUUCUGCACAUAAUUCUCUAUUGUUCCUUGAGAAAUAGCUGGCACAAUUUUGCUUGAGUUCAACAAAUGAAUGUCAUCCUACCAAAAGAAAAUGAGUUAAAUAUUCUAGUGAAAAAUAAACAUUUGAAAAAAUUAUCUAUUGGUAUAUUUAUGUUCAUGUGUUCGAUUUACAAUUGCAGUCUCCUUCCAUGCUAAGUGUUGUGAAUCUGAAAGAUGAAUAAAAUACAACGCCACCCUUCAGGGAUGUCAGAGUGUCCAGAAGAGGGAGAUAUUAAACAAACAGCUACCGCACUGGAACUGAAGUGCAGAGGGAGGGCUUUGAGCAAGGAAUGCAGCCAUGACUCUCCCUGUUUGUGCCAAAGUCAGGAAAAGCUUCAUAGAGGUGAAUCCCAUCUAAGCUGGACUUGAAGGUUGUGUUCUGAAUUUUCCAACUAAGAAAAGAAAGAAGGGUAUUGAUAACAGGAGGAACAGCUUGUGCAAGGAAGUGAAGCCCGAGAAGGGUGUGUUUUCUUCCCUGCCUACCUAGCUAUCUCUUUAUCAACUUCCAGGAAAUGAAUUAGAUGCUUACUAAUGACUCUCGAGUAUUUUCAGCUCUAAGAAGAGUUUUAAAUUACUGGAGUCACAUAUGGGUUAAGACUAUCAUGAUGACUUGACUUUAAGUCUUAUUAAUCAAAGAUGCAAGGCAGAAAAAAAUAACCAUUUUGUGAGUUCAGCAACCUGUAACCUCACAAACACUGUGCUUCACAACUUAGGGUAACUUAGUUCGGUGACUGAAUAGUCUGGGGCUAACUACAUCUGACUAGAUUAUUCUAAUGUGAUGGGUUGAUAUGUGCCAUGGAUGGGAGGAAACGGGUUUUGAGAAUUGCAGCCGGUGACAGUUUGCUAGGGUCUGGAUUGAAAUUGAACAUGGGAAAUAGGAUGGGGUGGGUGGGGAGAGCACAGGGCAGGGAGAUGGAGGUAAAUAUUUGUCAGUCGAGCUUAGGAAGGUGUUCCACGUUCAUUUCAGAGCAAAUCUAAGAUCUGUGAUUCUGCCUUUAGCUCCAGGUAAAGGUUUGUCUUCCUUUUUUCUAAGCUAAACAUGUCUACUGAGCCCUCCAACUCAAAAUCAUUUAUAUGGAACUUGUACAAAACUUCUUCUAAAAAAUACAAAAUGUUCUUAUUUGAUCCUCAACAUUGAGGUAGGGUUAUAACCCCCACCUCCACUCCAUUUCUAAAAUGGAGAAAACCUAAGCCCAGAGACAUCAUGUAGCCUACCAGUUGCCCAUAAGUGAUGGAACUGUGGGUCACAACUUUAUUUUGCUUCUGCCCCAGUGCCCUACUGGACUCUGGUUUCGCAUCUUGGCUGGGAGAGUCUGGGAGGACUAUUUGUUUUUGUUGGAGACACAGAUGCCGAGGAGGCCUAGGUAGGUGAAAGCCUUGCCUUCUCCUAGUAGACAGGGUCUGGACCAGCUCUGUCACCGAGAGAAGUCCACAGUGGCUACUACACCUUCACAAGCUCAUGUGGCCCAGAAUGCGGCAUUCUGUGAGCAUGCAGGCUGAUAACUAUCUGGUAACCCUGCAGGGGCCACCGAGCAGAGAUGCUCACUCACACAUUAGUAUGGCUCUGCAGGCUGUACCUCAUUCCAUAGGCUGGAGCAAAUAAGUCAUUUCUUCACUAAAGCCUCUCUCUCCUUCCCUUCCAUUUGGAACACACACCUCAGAUUUGGGAUGUUGGGAAGGGCUAAGGUUUGGUAGACUAUUCUCUGCCUGUUUCUAUUCUCUGGCGAUCAUGUCUGCAGAAGCCUCUUGUAAUAUUAGAGUACAGUUCCAAUGCAAACCUGUCACCAAUCUAUGAGGUCCAUUACCUUCAUAUGCCUAGUGAGCAAAUCACAGAUAUGCAGUAAAUAACAGCAGAAAUAAUACGGCAUUAUUGUGUGAAGUUUAUAAAGCUUAUAUCAAGUUUCAUUGCAUAGUGUUAUGUUUACUGCAACUUGACUCAUAAGAUCUGCUUACUAUGAAAUGUGUUGGCCUACUGCAGCUCCUCUGAGGUCCUGAGGGACGCCAUCCAGGAAAGACAGCUAAUAUUUACUUUUGCUGAAACAUCAUGCACUCAUGUGCGAUCUCUCUCUCUCUCUCCCCACUUCAGUCUUAUGAAUUUUAGCAAGCUAUUGAAUGUUGAGCAGUUCAGCAGGCUAUUGAGUAACUUCUCAUUUGCCAUCAAGGGCAGGUGCAUGGUCCCAGGGACUGUGCAUGGGUUGGGCAGUCUGUUAGGGGCUCUCCAAUCCCUUCACACAUUAGUUGUGCAAGUCACCUUUCUCUGGGAUUCUAUAUUUCUAGCUAUAAGAUGGAAAUGAUAACAGUCACUGAUUUGCAAGGAACAAAUUAGGAGGUAGUGGUAAGGGGUCAGAUUUCCUGAGAUCAGUCCUUCCACCACUGCAGUGGACACUGUCGCAGAUGCUGUGAUGCUCCACUCAGAGUCCUUCCUACAACUGAGAAACUCCAGCCCGUAGUUGCAAGAAGUGUAGGUGUUGACAUCUUAAAGCAGAGCUCCCCUCCAGACAUCACCCCCCACUAGCUGGAGAGAGCCACCUUGUCCAACAGCCUGAAGCAGUUCAAAGGUUUGACCUCUUCUCUUCAAUCCAUCUCUGAAGGGUCAUCCUAACUGCAGAGACGCCUAAGGGACCAGCUUCAGCUUUGUUCCAGCCACUUUUCCUCAGUCCUGCUUUUCUUACACCUGAGAGGUGUUGCUCCAGAGAACACUCCUCCAGCAACUUUCUGAGGCAGCACAAGUCCCCAAUGAGAGAGAGAGAAGAGGAGGCCGAGAGAUGAGAAGGAAAAUCCUUGUCUGCUCAGCAUUUCUGAAGGACGACUUUGCACUAGCAGCCUAGAAGCACCUGGGAAGGGUCCCCAGGCCAGGAAGAACAGAUUGUUUUCUUGAUGAGUGACUUGCCCAGGUGAUGCAUAAGAACUGCUGACCCCUGAUGCUGACUACUGAUGGCACUUGUGUGAUGGACUUGAUGAAUGAUCUUCCUUGGUGGCCCACCUCUCUGCUCCAGAAAGAAAAAGUAGAAUAAAGUCAAAACCCCUCCCUUACCCUUCUAGUCCCCCUUGAGCCUGGUCCCUACCUUUAUCCCGUCUUAUUUCCCACUCCUUCGCCCCUCCCCAUGCCUUGGCAGACCUGCAGUCUCAGCCUGAAUCUCCACUUCUGACAUUGCCAAAUGUCAUUUUUGUUCUUGUGAAGCUCUUCCCAGCCACUUCUGCCAUAAAAGCUUAUCUCCCCUAUGAAGUCUUCCACAUUUCCCCAAGUUAAAAUGAAUUAAAUCCACUCUCCUCUUUAUAUUUCACAUAGCUUUUGGACAUCUUAUAAAAUUAAUUACUGACUCAAAAAAAUGUUGUAAGCUGUCAUCAUAAGGCAAGGUCUGCUAGGGGUAUAAUGGGUAUUACCUCAUUUAAUCAUCCCCCAAAUUAUAUGAGGCAAGCAUAAUCAUUUAAAAUCUGCUUUUAGAAAGCUAUAACCCAGUUACAACUUAACAAUAGGGGGAAGUGGGAAGGGGGUGGGUGGGUAGAGGGAGGGGGAUCGGUGGGAUCACACCUGUGGUGCAUCUUACAGGGGUAUUUGCAAAACUUGGUAGAUGUAGAAGGUAAAGGUUUUGGCACAGUAACUGAGAUAAUGCCGGAAAGGCUAUGUUAACCACUGUGAUAAAAAUGUGUCAAAUGGUUUAUGAAGCGAGUGUAUGAUGCCCCAUGAUCAUAUCAAUGUAUACAGUUAUGAUUUAAUAAAAAAAAUAAUAAUAAAAAAAUAAAAAUAAAAAUAAAAAAAUAAAAUCUGCUUUUAUAAACAAG